GAUGAACGCUAGCGACAGGCCUAACACAUGCAAGUCGAGGGGCAGCACAUGAGUAGCAAUACGAUGGUGGCGACCGGCGCACGGGUGAGUAACACGUAUGCAACCUGCCUGUAAGAGGGGGAUAACCCGGAGAAAUUCGGACUAAUACCGCAUAAUACCACGAGACUGCAUGGUUUUGUGGUUAAACAUUUAUGGCUUACAGAUGGGCAUGCGUAUGAUUAGAUAGUUGGUAGGGUAACGGCCUACCAAGUCUACGAUCAUUAGGGUUCUGAGAGGAAGGUCCCCACACUGGUACUGAGACACGGACCAGACUCCUACGGGAGGCAGCAGUGAGGAAUAUUGGUCAAUGGGCGAGAGCCUGAACCAGACCAAGUCGCGUGAAGGAAGAAGGUUCUAUGGAUUGUAAAC
This 408-nucleotide ribosomal RNA is filed under the name uncultured bacterium. Its description in RNAcentral is "bacterial SSU rRNA". It matches the Rfam family "Bacterial small subunit ribosomal RNA", at positions 28 to 430 of the family's 1533-position model. The record is from RNAcentral.